Molecule: long non-coding RNA, 2782 nt
Filed under: Sorghum bicolor (sorghum)
Lineage: Eukaryota; Viridiplantae; Streptophyta; Magnoliopsida; Poales; Poaceae
Description: long non-coding RNA (SBIC_LNC007585)
Source: RNAcentral
GGCCGGCGGCCGCCGCCGGCGGGAGGCCUCGUCUCGCGCUGCCCGCGCCCCCUGCGGUCCGGCCGUUUCUGACGGAAUCCUGCCUCCGGCGCACUACCGCUGCAGAGGCUGUUCAUUCUACAGGGCCCACCUCAUUCAUAUAUUCUCCACUUUCAUAAACAAAAUUUAAAAAGUCAUAGCUCUUAAACUAAAUAUCUAAAUCAAAAUCCGAUUACACUAUAGUGUUUCUUAUAAUAAAUCCUGCAAAACAAGAUCUCACAUAGAUAUAUUUAGAUAAAAUUUUAUUAAUAAAUAUUUAUCUUAUAAAGAUAUAACAUUUUUAUUUAUGAUAGACAAGGUUCUAGGUUCAUAAAAUAAAUGUUCCAUCUUCGUAAUAAAAAUGUUCUCAGUUUAAAAAAUAGUGUUCUAGUUUAGAUUCAUGAAACUGAUAUUAUAAUAUUUAAAAUAAAUAAAUAAAUACAUCAUGUAAACAAAAAAAAAUAAAAUCUAGAGCAAAGCAUAAGGAAAAAACAUGUAAUAGAGAAAAAUUUAAAAGAACAUCAUAUGGAUAGUUUUAAAACAUCCUAAAAAUAAACUAUAAAACAUCACAUGUGUACUAAACUGAACAUCACUAAAUACACUAUAGAACACUAUUAAAUACAUUAUGGAACAUCGUAUAUAUAUUACGUGAACAUCACUAGAUAUAUCAUAGAACACCACAUGUGUACUAAGCGAACAUCACUAAAUUCACAAUAGAACAUCACUCAACACAUUAUAGAACAUUGUAUGUAUACUAAGUAAACAUCGUUGAAUUAACCACAAAACAACACUUAAUGUAUUAUAGAACAUGGCAUAUGAUUCCAAAAAAGAUUAAUAACAAAGAAAAAUUAAGAAAUAAAACAUGAAUAAAAGAAAACAUAAUUAAAAAUUAAAAGAAAAAACAAAAUCAAAAGAAAAAAAUAAAAAAUAGAACAUCAGCACGUGAACAUCAAAGAAAAUAAUAAUAAGAAGAAAAAAAUAAAAUGUACAAAACAAAGGAUAAUAUAAAACAAAAAAUGAAAAUAAAAAUAAAGCACAAAAAAGAUAGAAAGAGAAUCAAAUGGAAUAUAAAAUAAAAAAAGAAAGAAAAAAGGAAAAAAAUUAAAGAAAAGAAACAAAGAAAGAUUAAAAAAUAAAACAUGAAUAAAAGAAAACAUAAUUAAAAAAUAAAAGGAAAAACAAAAUCAAAAGAAAAAAUAAAAAAUAGAACAUCAGCACGUAAACAUCACAGAAAAAUAAUAAGAAUAAAAAAAGAUAAAGAUACAAAACAAAGAAUAAUAUAAAACAAAAAAAAUAAAAUAAAAAUAAAGCACAAAAAAGAUAAAAAAGAACCAAACGGAAUAUAAAAUGAAAAAAGAGAAAGAAAAAGAAAAAGAAAUUAAAGAAAAAAAUAUAGCAAGAAAAAUAAAAAGAAAAAAGAAAGAAUAAAAGAGAAGAAAAGUAACAGCAACGAUCGGGAGGAAAAAAAAGAAACAUAAAAAGAAAGAAAAAACAAAAAAGAAAGAAAAAACAAAAAAGAAAGAAAUAAAAAAGAAAACAUACGUAUCUGUCAACCUCACGCGUGUGCGGGAACCAUCGCGCGGAAAUCAUUGGACGGGGUCUCCGGUCCGAACCUCAACCAUACCAUCUACUUCCUCCAUUUCAGGGCCUUGUUUAUUUCCACCCAAAAAUCUAAAAAAUUUUAAAAUUUUCUGUUACAUAAAAUUUUUAUAUGCAUGCAUGGAGUAUUAAAUAUAGACGAAAACAAAAACAAAUUGCACAGUUUGGUCAAAAUUAAUGAGACGAAUCUUUUGAGCUUAGUUAGUCUAUAGUUAGACAAUAAUUACCACAAACAAACGAAAGUGCUACAGUGUCGUGAAUUUUUUUUCUUCGCGAACUAAACAAGACCAGACCUUGUUUAGUUGGUAAAAUAAAAAAGUUUUCAGACACCGUAGCACUUUCUUUAUAUUGUUCAAUUAUAAACUAAUCAGGGCUUUGUUUACAUCCACAAUUUUUUUUAGAUUUUGACAUUGUAUCACUUUCGUUUUUAUUUGACAAACAUUGUAUAAUCAUAGAAUAACUAGGCUUAAAAGAUAUGUUUCGCGAUUUAUACACAAACUGUGCAGCUAAUUUUUGUUUUUAUCUAUUUUUAAUGCUCCAUACAUAUGCCGAAAUAUUCGAUGUGAUGGGAAAUUUUGAAAAGUUUUUGGUUUUUUGGGUGAACUAAACAAGGCCUAGGUUUAAAAGAUUCAUCUCGCGAUUUAUAGACAAACUGUGUAGUUAGUUUUUGUUUUUGACUAUAUUUAAUGCUCCAUGUAUAUGCCGCAAGAUUUAAUGUGACAGAGAAUCUUGAAAAGUUUUUGGUUUUUUGGGUGAACUAAGCAAACCUCAAAUUUAUAAAUUAUUCCAAAAAUAUUAGAGAGUCAAAACAAAGUGACCAAAAUUAUAAAAAAAUACUAAGAUUUGUAACAUAAAGUGGAUGUACUAUAAAGAAUAUAAUGAUAUUUAGUUAGUAUUAUAAUUAUUAUUAUUUUAUUAUGUAAAUUUGGUCAAACUAAAGAUAGUUUAAUUCUUCAAAAUUUUAGUAAUGUAUAAUUUAGGAUGGAGAGAGUACAGGCUCCUAUCCAACACCACGGUUAUGGAUUGGCACCGUGUGCUACCUAUGGCUAUGGAUGAUCAGUUGGGCCGGGGCCCAACGGAUCACAAGAUACCUGAUUCAGUUUUUUUUUUAAAUCGGACAAGAGACCUGAUUGUAGAAACAACGGUCGCAAGAGUAUCUGGAAGC